GCGGCAAUAGCUCAGUGGUAGAGCCCCGCUUCGCGUGCGGGGAGACCCGGGUUCGAUUCCCGGCUGCUUCU
Molecule: transfer RNA, 71 nt
Filed under: Toxocara canis (dog roundworm)
Lineage: Eukaryota; Metazoa; Nematoda; Chromadorea; Rhabditida; Toxocaridae
Rfam family: tRNA
About the family: Transfer RNA (tRNA) molecules are approximately 80 nucleotides in length.
Source: Rfam by way of RNAcentral